AGAUAGGCGUUGCGGUGGGAAGGGAAAACCCAGCAGGCUCUGUUCGCGAGAUCUGGGCUCUAGGCUCACGGCAAGGAAACCAGGGCCCCCACUCCUGGUUGCAGCGUCCCUGCGUGCACCCGUUAGCAAAUAUUCCCGAAGAGGGGUUGGGGAGGUGACGGCUGCCUUGGGCGUGGGGAGAGUGAGCCCUGCGAUGUAAUGGAAAAAACGGAUUCUGGAGGUGGACUUACUGAGGCAAACAUGACUGUUCCCUGGGUUGCUCCUGAAGUCAGCCUUCUGGAAAGUUCCUCUGAGGAAGAAGUGAAUUGUUGAUCCACCCAAGUUUCCCAACCCCAGCCGCCAAGGACCUGGUGAUGCAAUCAAGACAUUCCAACAUAUUACACAGGGAGAGAGCAGCUGCUGUGGCUGGAGGGCAGGUGUGAGGAAGAGACCCACUCCACCUACGCCCCGCACAAGCAAGACCUUCCUGUCAGUGAGGGUCACAGACCAUCAGUGCUACAAGAGACUUCAGAAGCCAUUUGGUCACACCCCCUCAAUUUUACAGACUGGGAGGUGAUCCAGAGGUCAACACAAGGUUAUAGAGGAAAGCACUGGCAGAGGCAGUAAUUAGAAUUAGGAUCUCCCAGAACACCAAAAAGCUCCUUGAAGGCAGGUACUGGACCCCAACUCUUGUACUCAAUGUAAAAUCUGGUCCAGUACCUGGCACAGAGAGCAGAUGUUGAGAAAGUAUGAACCAAUGGAAAGCAGAGCAAAUAAUCUGGUACACUGAAACCUAUACAGGAGGACCAACGUGUGUGCAUCAGACCCACCUUCAUCUUCAUCUUCAUCCUCCUCGUCUUCAUCUUCAUCAACUUCUCCAUCGUGUCCAAAUUCUUCUUCCUAAAGAACAGUAAACAGCAACCACUAUUAGGUUGAUCUGCCAAGCUGAGACGUACAAAGAGAAAAAUAACUUGCCAAUAAAUGUAAAAAUUCACCAAGGAGAAAACUUUAAUAUUAUCUUUAUCUACUUUAAUGUUCUGAGAUCUGUUCGUUUUUCUGAAUAAAUGAAUUAAAAUUUUCUUUAAAAACUGC
Molecule: long non-coding RNA, 1071 nt
Organism: Felis catus (domestic cat)
Lineage: Eukaryota; Metazoa; Chordata; Mammalia; Carnivora; Felidae
Exons: 6
Source: RefSeq, a predicted model, not a curated record